RNAcentral lists this ribosomal RNA (310 nucleotides) under uncultured Tenacibaculum sp. RNAcentral describes it as "bacterial SSU rRNA". It matches the Rfam family "Bacterial small subunit ribosomal RNA", at positions 28 to 334 of the family's 1533-position model. Lineage: Bacteria; Pseudomonadati; Bacteroidota; Flavobacteriia; Flavobacteriales; Flavobacteriaceae. The record is from RNAcentral.
GAUGAACGCUAGCGGCAGGCUUAACACAUGCAAGUCGGAGGGGUAACAUUGUAGCUUGCUACAGAUGACGACCGGCGAACGGGUGCGUAACGCGUAUAGAAUCUGCCUUGUACAAGAGGAUAGCCUUUAGAAAUGAAGAUUAAUACUCCAUAAUGCUAAUAUGUGGCAUCACAAAUUAGUUAAAGAUUUAUCGGUACAAGAUGACUAUGCGUCCUAUUAGUUAGUUGGUAAGGUAAUGGCUUACCAAGACUUUGAUAGGUAGGGGUCCUGAGAGGGAGAUCCCCCACACUGGUACUGAGACACGGACCAG